Molecule: non-coding RNA, 22 nt
Filed under: Arabidopsis thaliana (thale cress)
Lineage: Eukaryota; Viridiplantae; Streptophyta; Magnoliopsida; Brassicales; Brassicaceae
Source: RNAcentral
UUGUUGUAGCCACCUUGAUUCU